This 1802-nucleotide ribosomal RNA is filed under the name Turicibacter sanguinis. Its description in RNAcentral is "partial 23S ribosomal RNA". It matches the Rfam family "Bacterial large subunit ribosomal RNA", at positions 1 to 1812 of the family's 2925-position model. Lineage: Bacteria; Bacillati; Bacillota; Erysipelotrichia; Erysipelotrichales; Turicibacteraceae. The record is from RNAcentral.
UUAAAAAGGUCAAGCUACAAAGGGCGCAUGGUGAAUGCCUUGGCAUCAGGAGCCGAUGAAGGACGUGAUAAGCUGCGAUAAGCUUCGGGUAGGCGCACAUAGCCAGAGAUCCGGAGAUUUCCGAAUGGGGAAACCCGCAUGAGAAACCUCAUGCAUCGUAAAGUGAAUACAUAGCUUUAUGAAGGAACACCUAGGGAACUGAAACAUCUAAGUACCUAGAGGAAGAGAAAGAAAAAUCGAUUUUCUUAGUAGCGGCGAGCGAAAAGGAAAGAGCCCAAACCAGAGAUUUAUCUCUGGGGUUGCGGACAGAACAUAACGUGAAAUUAUGAUUAACCGAACACAACUGGAAAGUUGGACCGUAGGAGGUAAUAGUCCUGUAAGUAAAAGUCAUAAUGAUCAGUUCUGCACCAGAGUACCACGAGACACGUGAAACCUUGUGGGAAGCAGGGAGGACCACCUCCCAAGGCUAAAUACUACCUGAUGACCGAUAGUGAAGCAGUACCGUGAGGGAAAGGUGAAAAGAACCCCGGGAGGGGAGUGAAAUAGAACCUGAAACCAUGUGCCUACAACCGAUCAAAGCACCUUAUGUGUGUGAUGAUGUGCUUUUUGUAGAACGAGCCAACGAGUUACGGUAUGUAGCGAGGUUAAGUACUUAAGGUACGGAGCCGAAGGGAAACCGAGUCUUAAUAGGGCGACUAGUUGCAUGCUGUAGACCCGAAACCGGGUGACCUAUCCAUGGCCAGGUUGAAGCGAGGGUAAAACCUCGUGGAGGACCGAACCACGUUGCUGUUGAAAAAGCAUGGGAUGAGCUGUGGAUAGCGGAGAAAUUCCAAUCGAACUCGGAUAUAGCUGGUUCUCCUCGAAAUAGCUUUAGGGCUAGCGUCGUGAAAUGUGAGUACUGGAGGUAGAGCACUGAAUAGGCUAGGGGGCAUAGCGCUUACCGAACCUUAUCAAACUCCGAAUGCCAGAUACUAUCAGCACGGCAGUCAGACUAUGAAAGAUAAGUUCCAUGGUCAAAAGGGAAACAGCCCAGAUCGUCAGCUAAGGUCCCAAAGUGUAAGUUAAGUGGAAAAGGAUGUGGGAUUUCUAAGACAACUAGGAUGUUGGCUUAGAAGCAGCCACUCAUUAAAAGAGUGCGUAAUAGCUCACUAGUCAAGAGAUCCUGCGCCGAAAAUGUCCGGGGCUCAAACUUACCACCGAAGCUACGGGUUCAUACUUUGUAUGAGCGGUAGAGGAGCGUCGUAAUCGGGCUGAAGUCGUACCGUAAGGAGCGGUGGACUGAUUACGAGUGAGAAUGUUGGCAUUAGUAGCGAGAUGUAGGUGAGAAUCCUACAGGCCGAAUAUCUAAGGUUUCCUGAGUAAAGUUUGUCUUCUCAGGGUUAGUCGGGACCUAAGGCGAGGCCGAGAGGCGUAGUCGAUGGACAAUUGGUUGAUAUUCCAAUACCACUAUAAUCGUUAUUAUCGAUGGUGUGACGGAGAAGGAUAGGAUGUGCCAGCUAUUGGAUGCUGGUCUAAGCGUUGAGGGAGUUAGAACAGGCAAAUCCGUUCUAACAAUCCUAGGGCGUGAUGGGGAAGGUUCCACGGAACCGAAGUAUCUGAUUUCAUGCUUCCAAGAAAAGCAUCUAGAAAGAGAAGUAGUGCCCGUACCGCAAACCGACACAGGUAGAUGAGGAGAGAAUCCUAAGGCCGACGGAAGAAUCACAGUUAAGGAACUAGGCAAAUUGACCCCGUAACUUCGGGAGAAGGGGUGCCUACCAUUUGGUAGGCCGCAGAGAAUAGGCACAAGCAACUGUUUAACAAAA